UACGUAGGGGGCAAGCGUUGUCCGGAAUCAUUGGGCGUAAAGCGCGUGUAGGCGGCCUUGUAAGUCCGUUCUGAAAGUCCGGGGCUCAACCCCGGGAGGCGGAUGGAUACUGCAAGGCUCGAGUCCGGAAGAGGCAAGUGGAAUUCCCGGUGUAGUGGUGAAAUGCGUAGAUAUCGGGAGGAACACCAGUGGCGAAGGCGACUACCUGGCCUGUUCUUGACGCUGAGGCGCGAAAGCUAGGGGAGCAAACGGG
This 253-nucleotide ribosomal RNA is filed under the name uncultured bacterium. RNAcentral describes it as "partial 16S ribosomal RNA". It matches the Rfam family "Bacterial small subunit ribosomal RNA", at positions 524 to 776 of the family's 1533-position model. The record is from RNAcentral.